UACGUAGGGGGCAAGCGUUAUUCGGAUUUACUGGGCGUAAAGGGCGCGUAGGCGGCGUGGCGUGUCGGAUAUGAAAUCUCCGGGCUCAACCCGGAAAGUGCGUCCGAAACUGCCGCGCUCGAGUGCGGGAGGGGGAAGGGGAAUAUAGGGUGUAGCGGUGAAAUGCGUUGAUAUCCUAUAGAACACCGGAGGCGAAGGCGCCUUCCUGGAACGCUACUGACGCUGAGGCGCGAAAGCCGGGGGAGCAAAC
This 250-nucleotide ribosomal RNA is filed under the name uncultured prokaryote. RNAcentral's name for it is "partial 16S ribosomal RNA". It matches the Rfam family "Bacterial small subunit ribosomal RNA", at positions 524 to 773 of the family's 1533-position model. The record is from RNAcentral.